Non-coding RNA from Kogia breviceps (pygmy sperm whale), 1167 nucleotides. The record is from RefSeq and is a predicted model, not a curated record. Lineage: Eukaryota; Metazoa; Chordata; Mammalia; Artiodactyla; Physeteridae.
GAGCGCGCGGGGAGGCCGGAGCCCGUGUAUCCCUCCUGCGAAAGUUUUAAUGAACAUAGACCCAACCCGGGCCUGGGGCGCUCCCAGGCCUGCUAGCCGCGGCCCUCCGACUUCGGGGUUCCUCUGGGAGAGUUGCACGCCUCGACGGCGUCUCUCUUUGUCCCCGACUGAAGAGAAUCCGGAUUCGGGGCCUGUAAUUGAAGAGUCCGGCCCUGGCUGCGGAGAUGCCAUCACCCUAAGGAGAGAGGGAGGCAUCUUCUGAGGAAUCGCCUUCAGAACCUGAGGCACGUCUGUUCAUACCUUCAAUCCUGACAAGCUGUUUUUGAAGGCGAAUAUGAAGUUUGGAACCAUCCAGAAGUCAUUUGGAGUCCAGUGAGAAAGCCAGCGAUCAAGGGCAGUGGCUGGCAGACGUGAGGGCCGCCCACCAGAAGCAGGCACACCUGGGCUUGGGCAGAGACCGGAGACCCCAGCCCGGCACCAGCUGGCAGAGCCAAUUCCUCUCUCUCAAGGGCUGGCUCUGUGAGUCACUGCCCGUCUGCCAGCAGUGAGCAGAAGGGGGGGAGCAUCUCACAGAGCCCUGGGUGCCUGCCCCGAUUUGCCGUGAAGACGGCGUGAGGUUUGCGGUGGCCCCCGGUAGGACAAGCAGUCCCAGGCCUGCCUCACGCUCGUCCCCUCCUGCUGCCCCCGACAAAGGACGGUUCAUCCUCUGUGAUGGGUCCCUCUUGAGACUGGCUUGAACUCCUCAGGCUGAUGUAAAUGUAUUUCAGAUGACAUUGGACUUGCACUGAUUGUAUCACCCUGACUAUGGGCCUGGUAGGCUUUUAGACUGCACUAGAAUCAAUCAGACCUGGAACUCUGGCCGCUGAAGAAUAAACAAAUGCUUCUUCUAACAGAGUGGUUUUAUAUCCAUCUCCCAGAUGAAGGGACGUCAGCUCAGAGAGAACGUUAACCAGAAGCCGAGUUAUGCCGUCAGAACAACCUCAAACUCUCAGUGGCUCAAGACACCAGCCUUGCAGGUCUGAGUGGUUCUCCUGGGCAGUUGUCCUCCACGUGGUGACUCAGAGACCCAGCUGCUUGGAUACUCUUGGAUCUGUCAUCUCAAAACGAGGCUCCUAAAUGUGCCCCAGCAGGGGCGGUGGUGAGAGCCUGGGGUGUCUCAGAGGGGAC